Molecule: microRNA, 22 nt
Filed under: Brugia malayi
Lineage: Eukaryota; Metazoa; Nematoda; Chromadorea; Rhabditida; Onchocercidae
Description: bma-miR-100d
Gene: bma-miR-100d
Source: miRBase by way of RNAcentral
UACCCGUAGCUCCGAAUAUGUG